Phalaenopsis equestris is the source of this 802-nucleotide long non-coding RNA. RefSeq lists it as uncharacterized. NCBI's taxonomy places the organism in Eukaryota, Viridiplantae, Streptophyta, Magnoliopsida, Asparagales, Orchidaceae. The record is from RefSeq and is a predicted model, not a curated record. The transcript is spliced from 3 exons.
GCUGGAACAAGUUGUUAAUCGAGGGACUUAAUUUGGUUUCGCCGGACGAACUCUACGCCGUCAUCAAGAAGCGAAUUGAACGAGUCUUGAUUCGCACAGUCGGAGGUUCCUACCAGCAGCGAAUUCUGACUGAGUACCUUAAGGGCAUCCAGUUGAGAACAGAGGAAGUUGUACAAGCCUUAAGAGGCUCACAAAAAUGAGAUUCUUCAUAUGAGAAUCAUAAUAUAGCCAUGACAAGGAGAAGAAACAGCAAAAAAUUCAGCAUUACUGUGGGAGCAGAACUUGUUCCUGCUGCAAGGUUUUUCAUAUUCGUCGGUCUCACUCAUGUUUUACGAUCUCUAGACCUGGAAGAAAUAUUGCAUCCAAACACCACAGGUGUGGAUUGGUGGUACUCUGGUAGUAUUGUGGUUGUAUUACGGUACAAUACCACCAGAAUACUACCGUAUGUGCUAUUCUGAUGGUAUUCUGAUCGUAUUAUGGCAGGAUUGUUGUGCAACACCAGCAUAAUAUCACCAGAAUACUAAAAGGCCGCCCGCACCUAUCUCAUCCGCACACAAUAUUUUCUACUAGAUCAUUCUCUAUUGCAAGUGCUUUUUCAAGGUUUUGCAUGCUUGCUGCUGAGCAAGAAAAGCUUUAAAAUCAAAGAAAUGAAGUAAAGGUAGCAGAAUUUCUUUCAUUGUCUCGAAAGAUUUGUGUAUGUACCUUGCAUUUCUUAUGUAUUUGCAUGAACUUUUAAUUUUUUCAUUUUAGUACUUUAUUUAUGCAAGAAAAGAUGUAUUCCAUCUUUUAAAAGAUAUUAAUA